GACUAGUAGCACUAUCUCCUCUCUUCCAGCUGAUGAAGGAAGUGGAGCAACAGCUCAGGGAUAGUGCCAGAGAUAGAGGCCUUCUCAAGAUCCAGCCUUCGGGUGCAGGCCAGUCAUUCAUGGAUUUCAUGGAUGCCCAGUGGGAGUGUGAGGGAGAGCUGAUUCAAGUGAGCUCUGAAACCCUCAACCCACGACAGCUUCUGCUCUACCAGCAUGGACAGUUUCUCCUCCAGCACCUUCACUUACAUAAAAUGAUACCAGCAGUAACCCUUCAACUGGCUUCUACUCUUCCUUUCAACGACUACCAUAACAAUGCUUUCCGCAACUCUUUCUAUUAUCAGGAGGGACAGAAGACUCUGUUUGUUCGCAGUCAGAGAUUGCAAUCAGUGGGUGGCCUCUCUCUGCUGCUAAUGCACUGUGCUGCACACAUUUCCACCGGCCAGAUGAGGACCGACACCAUUCCUGCCU
Molecule: long non-coding RNA, 468 nt
Filed under: Sinocyclocheilus anshuiensis
Lineage: Eukaryota; Metazoa; Chordata; Actinopteri; Cypriniformes; Cyprinidae
Description: lncRNA (ENSSANG00000021904.1)
Source: RNAcentral